Taeniopygia guttata (zebra finch) is the source of this 4617-nucleotide long non-coding RNA. Lineage: Eukaryota; Metazoa; Chordata; Aves; Passeriformes; Estrildidae. The record is from Ensembl.
ACUAUAAGGGUGGUGAGCACAGGCACAAGUUGCACAGAGAAGCUUUGGGGUUGUGAGAAACCUGAUGAGAAGCACGAGGAAAGUGUCAUUGCCUGUGGCAGGGGCAUUGGAACUAGAGGACUUUUAAGGUCCUUUCCAAACCAGGCCCUUCUAUGAUUCUAUGUUGAUGUAUAAAGAUAAAUGGGUUCCAUUACUAAGCAUAGCCUGCCACAAUAAGCAUCUUUAAUUAAAAUUUUAAAAGAAAUAGAAAAAAAAUAGAAUGGCUAAAUUCAAUUUUGAGAGUAUUUUUAUAAUUUUAAUUCAUUUAAGGGAAAACAAAAGUUAGGGUAAAAUUUCUAGGCCCUGUUGUUAGCAGGGUAGGAUUUAUUGCCUUUGUAUACAUCUGACUUUAUCUGACUCUAACUGAUUUAGGUAUCUUAAUGCCUUUGAUUGGGAAGCUAAGCAUUCCAAUCAAACCUGUUGAUUCCCAAACUGGUUUUUUUCACUGGGACCUGGACAUUCCUGGAUUUCUGCAUGCACUGGAGCAUUAACUGCCUGUGUUUGGUCACUGGCAGGGACCCGACCUUGUGAUCCCAGUGCCUUUGUUACACGUCUCCAGGCUCUCCCAGGUCCUUCUGUGCACAUUUCAUCCUCCUGACCACAAGGCUGUGUCUUCCCUUCCUUCUUCACUCUGCCAUUUGGCUUUGCUUAUGCUUCCCAGGUCAGAAAAUGGAGGUUGGGUGCCUGCUGGGUUCCUAUGGUGAGUAACUGGAGUUUGGUGUUGCAGCAGGUUAAUGGAAGACUGGUAAGUGCAUGUGGUUGUCUUGCUCUGAUGGCUAUAAAAGUGCUUCAGAGGCAGAAAUUAGGGAUGAUAAAUAAAUGGCUCUGAAUCUCACUUCAAAGCCAGUGGUUAUUCAGUUUCUCCUUCCUCCUUGGCCUGUUCCCCUUCCUACCUCAUUACAAUGAGGUGUGGUAAAGAAUUAAUUCCUCAGAGUCUUUAGACAAAUUAAUUUGUGUAACUGUAUAGCAUUAUUUCCUGUGUGUCACUUCUGUGAAAGGAUGUAGCACAAAAAACAGUAAACUGCCUUUUCUGCUGCACUGAUAAACCCAUUUCCUACAGUUGUCUUUCCUGCAAAACUACCAGUGUGCCAAGCAAAAAUCCAUUGCACCACAUGGUGAAUGCUGGUUAUGAAAAGGCAAAAGCAAGCAGGACUCCUGGAGGUAUUUUGUGUCACUUUGGAUUUGGAGAACCUGUUUAAGAAAAACUCAACGUAAUAAAGAGUUAAGUCAAGUGAAAAAUUUGAAUAUUCUUUUCUUUUCACUUGAAUUUAAAAGAAGACUUGUACUGGAUUCCUGUCAACAGUACAAAUUGAUUCAGGACCAGAUGUUCCAGUGGUGUAAGCUUGCCUAUAAGAUGGUUAAUUUAUGUUGUCUAGUUUAUCUGACCUGCAGUGUUAAAUGUGUACGUUGCAAAUAACAAAGGUCUGUUAAUCACUCUAUUUACAAUGUCAUCAAGUUAAAAGCUACAGAGUUAUGAAUGUAAGCAUGAGAUUAGGACCACAAGCCCUGGCUACCAGUUUUUCCCACCUUCUUACCUAUCUUUCACUGGUAUCCAGGGUUUAAUCAAUGAUGGCAAGCUUAGACUAAGCUACAAGGCAUCUUUGAAUAAUUAUAUCAGUAAAAAAUACGAUGGCUGUUUAUAACCUACAGUCUCUAAACUCAGACUUCAUGAGAAGUUUAGACUUCAUGAGAAGUUUUCAACAGUAGCUGAAAUGCAUAUAGCUAGCCAUUUUAAAGAUGUUCCAAUUGCAUUUCUCUGUAGAUAUCCUCAAGCUCUAAAAUUGUCCAUUAAUUUUAUUUUCAACACACUGAUGCUCUCAACAACAUUGUGAAAGUUAUUUUCAGGCCUGGUAUGGGUGAUGUUUUUUUUUCCAAGUGCCUAAGUAAUUGAGAAAUGUCCUUAAGUAAAAUCUAACUUAUGUAUCUGUCCUAUAUAUAUUUCAGGCAAAGUGUGUGUUUAAGUACUUUACUAUAAUGGGGCCAUCACACUUAUCCAUGCAGCUGAAAUCACACCUCCAUUAAAGUCACCAAACUGCUUGGUUCAUAUCCUUGCUGAGCCCACAGCAGUUCUUCAUCAAUAGAAUUGCACCAAAAAAGGCUAAAAAGUACACUGGAGAUGGUGCUUGGCUUUUUUCUUUCCUGCAUAACUUUGAGGAAAGCCUUGUUGUUGGUCUUGACCCUGCUCUCCUUUAACUGGAAGUGCUUUUCCCCUCAAUAUGCUGCUGCUCAUAGGCAAGAGUUUGAGCAGCCCUCAAAGCCCUGCAGAUAAAUGACUCUUGGAAAUCUCCUCGCUCCUGUAGGUGGAAAUUAGAAAUAGGUUUGUAUUAGACUGUGAUAGAGCUCGAAAUUUUAUAUACUCCCAGCUCACCAAAGCCCCAGAAUUGGAAAAAAUAAAUUAUUUUUAACUUGCAAGUUUCUUAUGUCCAUCCUUCGGUUUAUUUUCUCUGUGUUUCAUUAGAUUCUGGGAAAAAAUAUGUUUGAUACGCUAAAGAGCAAAAACUUUCUGGCUUCCACCCUCAAAAUGGGAAAUAGAAGAUAUUCCUUUGCAGGACAGGCUUCAUGAGCAAUUAGGAUCAAUGCAGUUGUACAGACCCCAAACCAGUUAAAGGCUUAAAGUCUGAUAAAGAUAUAUUUUCUUGGCAAAGCCUUAAAGUGAAUUGUUUUAAUAUACUAUAUCCCACCACUUUUUAAAAUUGUUGUUUUAUUAUUUUAAGAGACUGCUUUGUUAUUAUUGGUAGCAGACCAGAAUGCUGCUGUAGAUGUACCUUUUUAUUCCUAAUACAAUGAAAACAAAGUUGAUUAGGAACCAAAAUUUCAUAAAAUAUAAUCAGUUAAGGUUGGAAAAGGCCUUUAGGAUCAUCAAGUCCAACCAUUACCCCAGAGCUGCUGUGUCACCAAUAAACCAUGUCCCCAAGUGCCACCCACACCUUAUUUGAACAUUUCAAAGGUUGGUUAUUGUACAAUUUCCCUGGGCAUCCUGUCCCAAUGCCAGACUACCCUUUCACCAAAGAAAUAUUUCUUAAUAUCUAAUCUAGACCUCCUUUGUUGCAACUUGAGAAAGAAGCAAGUAGGGAAAGUGAACUGUGACCUGAAAAUGAAUCCUGUGGGAAAUAGGUAAACUUCCUUAUGCCACCUGUCUAGUGCAAUUAAAUCCAUAAAUGAGUUUAUCCAACUGGCUGAAAACACCUGAUCACAAACAGUACUGUUCUUUCAUUUUUUGAAACUGAGUUUUAGAAGGAGUGUGUUGGGAAGCCAUAUUAAGGGUGAACAUUAAUGUUUGACAAAGUGUAUGCAAACUUUAGACUCAUGUUUGCAGUGUGUAAGAAGUCAUAGAAGCAAAAAUGCAAGUGGCAGCAUGGGAAACCCUGUAUCUUUUUCCUUCUGUGCAACUUUGUUUUCUUUAUAAAUACUGGCAAUUUUCUCCAAAGUUAUGCUGACACACAGCUUUUGCUCUCACACAGAGUUUUGGCAGUACUUUGGUGGUUAUUUUUUGAAACUGGUCUCAGAAAAAGAAAUAGGUCUAAGAGAAAAGUUUACAGACUUUUUUAAAGUCCUUAGUUUCUUUUGGUAGCUUCUCCUAUAUUCUCAUGACAGUUUUGUCUGGGUGGCAUGUUCUUGUUCUUUUUAAGUUUUCAAUUACUUCCUGUCAGUAGUCAUAUUUUACAGAUGGUUUAUAAGAAUGUGCUGGGAAGAGUUGAAGAGAAAGCAAAUCCUUUAUUAUAUGACAAAUGGUAGUUAUCUUCUGAUAACUUCUUCUGAUCUCCUGUUUUUCUGUUUCCUUAAAAGCAUGGAUCAGAGAUCAUCAACUGAAACCACAUUUUAGUUGUGUUCUGCAAAAAUUGGUGUCCUUGAUUUUUGAUAUUGGGAAUUACAAGAGAAAUCAGAAUCUCAAAAAUGAGCAAGUGAAAAUUGUUAAUGGUGUUGUCGUUGUUCUGCCUGGGAAAUCAGUGUGUUUUCAGGACUUCUGCAUCAUGGUUGGUUUUUUUCCCAAAUUGGAACACCUUGGAGAUGUAAGGGUUGCAGAUUACUCCUUUCCAUGGUGAGGAGUAGUAUGCUGAUAAUGGUGCAAAAUGAAUCCACUGAUAAUGAGAGCUUCAAGAAUUGUUCUAUGGAAACUAAUGACUUGUUUUUCUCAUUGAGUUCAAGAGAAGAAGGCAAUGCUCUACUGCUGAAAAAACAAGCCAUGGCACAUUUUCAUCCAUAGCCACCUCCAAUUCUCAUUAUUUUAGUAGCUGAGCAACAGGAGAAGAGUGCUGGACAACGCAGAGGCAGCAGAGCUCUCUGAAAGAUUAGCAUAAGAGAAUGUGAACAAUUAAAUACAUAUCUCAGUCUGUCCUGUGCUCAGAUCUGUCCUUUUCUGAGCUUGGGAGUGUUCAUUAAUGCAGUGUGGAUAAAAGAAUAUGCCAGUUCUGGGAAGCAAGUGCUUCCAGGAUGUGCAGCAGACACGCUCUGGGCUCCAGCACAGAAAGGCUGCAAUGUGUACAGGAGCAAUGUGUAAAAUCAGAACCUUGGAAAAGCUUCCAAGCUGCCUGAGCGUAUCGAUUGUGGCACCUGCUUGCAUCAGCAGGUGCUCAGGUU